GACAACGCGGGGGGCGUGCUUAACACAUGCAAGUAGAACGCUGAAGGAGGAGCUUGCUUCUCUGGAUGAGUUGCGAACGGGUGAGUAACGCGUAGGUAACCUGCCUGGUAGCGGGGGAUAACUAUUGGAAACGAUAGCUAAUACCGCAUAAGAGUAGAUGUUGCAUGACAUUUGCUUAAAAGGUGCAAUUGCAUCACUACCAGAUGGACCUGCGUUGUAUUAGCUAGUUGGUGGGGUAACGGCUCACCAAGGCGACGAUACAUAGCCGACCUGAGAGGGUGAUUGGCCACACUGGGACUGAGACACGGCCCAGACUCCUACGGGAGGCAGCAGUAGGGAAUCUUCGGCAAUGGACGGAAGUCUGACCGAGCAACGCCGCGUGAGUGAAGAAGGUUUUCGGAUCGUAAAGCUCUGUUGUAAGAGAAGAACGAGUGUGAGAGUGGAAAGUUCACACUGUGACGGUAUCUUACCAGAAAGGGACGGCUAACUACGUGCCAGCAGCCGCGGUAAUACGUAGGUGGCAAGCGUUAUCCGGAUUUAUUGGGCGUAAAGAGAGUGCAGGCGGUUUUCUAAGUCUGAUGUGAAAGCCUUCGGCUUAACCGGAGAAGUGCAUCGGAAACUGGAUAACUUGAGUGCAGAAGAGGGUAGUGGAACUCCAUGUGUAGCGGUGGAAUGCGUAGAUAUAUGGAAGAACACCAGUGGCGAAGGCGGCUACCUGGUCUGCAACUGACGCUGAGACUCGAAAGCAUGGGUAGCGAACAGG
RNAcentral lists this ribosomal RNA (763 nucleotides) under uncultured Streptococcus sp. Its description in RNAcentral is "bacterial SSU rRNA". It matches the Rfam family "Bacterial small subunit ribosomal RNA", at positions 28 to 776 of the family's 1533-position model. Lineage: Bacteria; Bacillati; Bacillota; Bacilli; Lactobacillales; Streptococcaceae. The record is from RNAcentral.